RNAcentral lists this long non-coding RNA (28583 nucleotides) under Setaria viridis. RNAcentral's name for it is "long non-coding RNA (SVIR_LNC002253)". Lineage: Eukaryota; Viridiplantae; Streptophyta; Magnoliopsida; Poales; Poaceae. The record is from RNAcentral.
GACGGCCUCUCCGACGACUCCGACGACGGUUCGAACUGAGGCGAAGUACGUGGUUCGCGGUCGGAGCCAAUGAUCCGGUUGAUUUGGAACAGGGCAGGGGAGGGAGUUGAGAUCAGUCGCCGGAUUUGUUUCUAAACGAUUCUUUCUUUCUCUUCACAGUUUAAAUUUCGAUGCUUGUAUGUUCUUAGUGCGUAACGAUUGCAUCGUUUGGUUAUCAAUGACUCAUCAAGAAUGAAUCAUAUGCCAUUCUACUGUUCGAUCAUUUCUGUGCUUCUGAGCAACUGAUACGGCGUGCAAUUCGUGUACUCUGCAACAUUUGAUUCAGAAAUUGUUUCGACAUUGUUUUCGCCAACUUUGCAAUCAUGAGAUAGCGAGGACUUCAGGGAGAUCAGAGGACUGUUUCCUUGAGCUAUCAUUCACAAAAGCAAGAAUUUCAAUGAGGGAGAUAACUGAAAAAUGCAGCGUUGAACAAUGAUGCCACUCUAGGACCUAGAUCCGCUCUCUAUUUUCCUAAUGGCACGUGCAAUGUUAUAUAAGUAAAACAAAAGGAAACAUGCAAGGAUGAGCGUGGCACUCUCAAGGGUAACCUUAAGCUUGAGGGUGGACAUGAAACCAAGGCCGUAGGCGAUACAGGGAAUAAAUACUGAGAUAGUGAUGUGCGCUUCGCCGCUUCCUACACUAUUCCCCCGCCUUACCAUGAAUGGACUUCUAUUUGCGCUUCCUACAUUCGGCAACAUCAUUAUUUCUAGAUCACCAAAAGUUUUUUAGAAAAUGGAGAACAUGCAGAUGGAAGAAAAUUGUUCUGAAACAUAUACAUUUGAUACUAGACAUGGUUCUUCACAAACCGAGGCAAUAAUAGUCCACAAAUAGUGAUACAUCGAUCUAGGCUUCCAAGUUCCAACUCACUUAUGAAAUAUAAAUACAAUAUAAUCGGGUUUCGUAGGAGCUAAAAUGGAAUCCCGAAAGAGAUGAAAAGUUUUUAUCCUUUCAAAAUUUUAUUCCGAUAUCCAUUGAACCAAAUGCAAAAUGACAACUACUCAAAAUCCAUUACAUCCAGCGCGUUCCUCUGAAUAAAACUGUAUGUUUACCUCACAAACAACAGAAGAGAUGCUUUUUAGUGACAACUUUCAUUAAUUUUACUAUCUGAUGAAAUGAAGAAUUUCACAUGAACGCAGUGUAUACAUUCCCACGGGGAUUCAGGGGGAAACCGAGAAUAAUACUCAACAGUUCAGCAUCUCAUUUGCCACUCCAAAGCUCAAUAUAGACCACAGAGCGCAUGUAAUGCUUAAUCCUUCAGCCAGCGAGAAAUACGGCCAAGCGAUUUGCCAAUUUAGCAGCGCCUCGCCCAUGCCCAACUAGCACCCGGCACAUGUCCACUCGGGCACUCACCCAUCGGAUCGCCAAACAAAUCGCCUCGCGCGCGACCACCAACCGCGGCGUGCGCGCGCCUCCGCUUCUCUUGCUCCCGCGCGUACGUAUAGCCCUCUGCUUCCUCCCGUGCCUCCUCUGCCACAGCCCAUCAUUCAAGCUACCCAAGCCCACGUCCACCAUGUCUCGCGCGCUCGCCCUUGCGGUCCUCCUGCUGGCCGCCGCCGCGGUGGCGCCGCUGGCCUCGGCGCACGGGGUCGGGGCGGAGUCCGUCACGGGCGCCAAGGAGUUCGCCGGCGCCGGGUCCAAGGGCGCCAGCGCCAAGGAGUUCGCCAGGGCGGUCGGGGCCGACCCCGACCCCUCCCCGGCCAGCGGCCUGCCGGCCGACCCGGCGCCCGACGCGCGCCCCUAGGACAGAAGCAGUGGAGCACGCACCGUCCCCGACUCCUCCCCGUCCCGUGUUCCGUACGUUGACGCGUUGGCCUGAUGGUUAAGAUGUACACGAACGCGAUGCCUUUUCAUUUCAUCCUGCAUGUGUGUUCUCUUGCGUUUUUCUUUGGUUGUCGUGACGCAGACGUGAGAAGUUCUGUCACUCUGUCUGUGGAAAAAUGUCACUCUGACGCUUGGGUCGUAAGUGGAAUUGUACAUCCAGCCUCCGGUUCACUGCUGGCUGAUUUCUCAUGUGAAAGAAAUUGGACAUUUGAUUGUUGAAAACAUGCAUACGUUUUGAGAUCGAAGCUGCUAUGUUUUCAUGCUCAUGCUGUGAGUACCGUAUGGCGAUCUACGGCAUGCUUCCCAGUGGACAACGUCCCCUUCCUCUCAGAAUAACAGCUGAUUAUGUUCGUGCAAAACAGUUCAUAUUUCAAGGAAGAUUAAAGCAGUACCUAUAAGACUAUAACUAUCUAUUGACGCUGGUAUGAUGUAUACGAACUCGAGUCGUAUGGACUAUACAUUCAUCUGGUCCAAGAGAUGACCAACAGAACUCAAUGCACUCAAAACUUUUCGCAGAGAGUGCAUGCCAUGUGAGAGCUUGAUCCAUGCCAGCUUUCUCCAUCACUACAUGCAUGCGUACAGAAACGAGGGAGAUUUUAUACAGCGCCAUUGUCCAUGAGUCGAGUAUUUAAGUAGCCACCCCUGUUGUACCAUUUUGGCGUUUCUCCUUUCAACAUGCAAUGAAGGAUCUUGCGGAAUAUCAUCUCCCGUAAUCGUUGAUCCCACGCGCCAGAUGCUUUGUGGCAUGCCCUGAACAUACUUUAUUAGUUUCCAUCAACGAGACGCUUAUCUGUAAAGUGACCACACACAUUAAUAUAUGAUAUAGUACCACGGUAAGCAUGGUGCGCAUAAUAUAUCACUACAUUUGUUAUAAACUCAGCUUGACAGAAUAGUUUUAAUCCCAAACUAUCAGAAUAAGGGGUGUCGAUCACUUUGGUUGGGGUGCUGGCUUAAAUGUGAUCCAAUUGAUUAUGUGUCUACUCUGACUGCUUGAGUAUCGGUUGCAGCAUUAAGAAAAAGUCAUGGUAUUAGUUGUUGUAGAUUAGGACUGGCGUCAGAUUAUCGUUCUCAAUCAGUGCAUUCUGCAAUCUGCAUCCUGAGCCUGUGUGUUUUUCGAUCCAAUGGUUCAAAGGCUACCCAAAAUUAUUGUACCAUGGUGCCUUUUGUACACUAAUACAGCUGAUUCCUGACAAAUGGAGUUCUAGUAUGGUGACUUCUGCACGCAGCAUUAAUAUCAAAUGGGAGUUCUGUGGGACUUUCAGAGAAGCUUUAGUUCUUUGACACUGACCUUCUGAAUCUGUAGUCUCCUAAAGCCUAGCCCUUGCUGCUUCCCUGGAUUCAUAUCCCAUGACACCGGGGAUGUGAGUUUCAAGGUAUUUCUCCCAAUUGAUGAACUUGGUAUCACAGGGGAUCAGUUCUCUGUCUCUUUUGUUCAUCAUCGCGAUAAGCCUCUGCAUGUUGGAAUCAUCAAACCUGCAAGCAAAGGUGCAAAAUGGGAACAACUCUUGAUAAGAAAUGGUUCAUAGUAUCCUUCCUGGAGCUACCUCUACCUUACCUCCUCUUGAAGAAUGUGCCUGGCCGGAACACUUCUGCAAGGGCCACUGUGAAAUUGUACUCUCUCUUGAGAUGGUUGUAUCUGUCAAGCUCGUCAGUGGUAGACAACCCACGGCCUGCCGUAUCCUGCAACCGAAAAUAUUGACACGCUUUGUAAGAAAAUAGACACAAAAUUCAAUGCAGUUAUAUUUAUUAGGGGAUGGCAUGUGGGUUGUGAUGGAUCUUUUAUUUUUUCAUCGGUUGUCGUGUGGGGCCCAACAAAAAUAUGACGAAUGAUGGUUGAAAACCUAGGUGACAUGGAUGCCAUCUAGGCGGAUCAACAAUGAUGAUUUUUGACUUUGAGUGAACCAUUCAGUAAGUUUAGGACCUAGAUAUGUAAAUUAACAGUUCAGGGAAAUAGGUAACACCCUGGAACAAGUUUAGGGAAAUAUGUAGAUUAACCAUUCAGUAAGUUUAGGACCGCUGGUGCCUUUAGUCCAUAUUUAAUUAUAAACCAACCUGCAUUGGCACCUUGUAGUGUAUGUCCAUGUGCUUAUAGAAGCUGGCCAUUGUUGCUGGCACAAUCAGCUGCUUCACCUUGAUUCCCUCUCCCCCUGCACCGACAAAUGGUUUCUCUGAGAAGUAUCUGAACAUUAUAUGUAUCAGCUCGCCUAUCUUGAGUGGGUUGCGCAUUGAAGAACCAAUGUGAUAGAUCAAGCCCGAUUGACCUCGAGGGUGGUAACUGAUAACGCAAAGCAUUCCAUUGACCACAGUGUCCGCAGGCACCUGCAAGCCAUCCACAAAAAUGAUACUUAUCUGUAGUGACUUGCACUUAUUAGAACAAAUCAUCUGUAGUUUCCACUACAAAUCAAUUCUUUAUGCUAAACACAAGAAGAAUGUAUCGUACAAUGUCUAUGACAGUAGUGACAUCUGCAGGAAGAACCUUCAGAAUCCCCUUACCAUAAUUGGUAAUCCACGUGUCAAUUGUUCUGCACCAAUUUCACACCAUAUUUCAAAGUGAGUUGCUGAUGAUAAUUGAAUGUAAGUUAUUGAAGCAAUCAAGUGAGGAUGAAUGGUUCAGUAUACUGCUGAAACUGACUUGAUUCCUUCUAUCCAUCCAGGAAAAGGCUCUUUCCAUGUGCUCGUCGUGGAUGUUGGACGGAUUAUGGCAAUUGGUAGCCGCAAUCUCUGUUCAUAUGCUAGCAUCUCACCCAUUGCCUUUGUGAAAACAUAGGUACUCAUCCAUCCAAACUUCUGAGCCCUGUUUAGCCAUCAUGUAGAAAUUUCAGAACAUCAUUCCUGAUGAUGUAUCAUGUAUUAAAGUGAAACUAUCAAGACUAAAUUGUGCAGGUAAUGAAUCAAGUUCAGAUGCAAAACCUUUGUGUGCCAAUCUUCUUCAUGGUGCGUCUUAUAGUAUCUUCUGAAGCAUUCCUGCAAACUAGUUCUUUCAGCUUCGCCUCUGUCAAUGCCAUUUCUUCUGAAAUAUCUAAAUCUGAUUGGCCAUCAUAGCUCCUGUACUGGUGAAAUGGCUUCUCCAGCAUGAUCCCUGAUUCCUUUCCAUUGACAUAAGCUGGAAUUGGGAAACGGUUCUCUCAUUCAAGAAGAAAUUCCUUUUUGUUGGAUAGAAGUGAGCUGAUGCCAAUUUCAGGUCUCACCAGUUGACACGAGGAGUAGUAGUUCUAGCUUUGCACAUUGUGAUGCGAUUUCGAUAAUAUGCUUUACACCCAUAGUGUUUAUUGCCAAAGCAGUUCGUAUCUGCACUUAUGAUCAGGGGUAACAACGUGAGCAUCAUAGACUAACCCCUUUUUUAUCUGAUUAAAAAAAGAACAAUUACAGCACAACUUUCUCACCUUUCUCUGAAGUUAACUGUCGCGGCCAUAUGAACGAUGAUGUCUGUUUGUUUCAAUAUAUCUUCAGCAAGCGCGACAUCUCCUAUACCCAAAUUCUUCAACGAGACAUCUCCCGCCACAGGGUAAACCUUGUCCCAGAACCAUGAACUGAAAUGCUUUUGGUACUUCUCUCGCAAAGGUCGAAAUAUCUGAAGUUGCAUAAUCUGAUAUUGCAGGCAACAAGACCAAGGAAACAAAGAUGAACUGGAUCAAAAUCAAAUCAAUCACUCAAAUACCUCAAAAACGACCGUAUGAGAUAUUCGCAAAAAGCAGGGCGGAGAAGAAGGCGACCUCGGAGCGGACCCGCUCCGUUGCAGAAGCCUGGUCGCCGGCGCGCACCAGGAGGUACAGCCUCUUCACCGGGGGCUGCAGCCGCAGGACCUUCUCCACAAGGACUGCAUCUCAUAACCCAACAAAGCAUCAAGAUCCAUUCACUGGACUCCCCAAACGCACUAAAAAGCAUAAGGAUUUCGCCGCUACGUUUUGCUAUGAAUCCGGUGGCGCCCGUGAUGAGGACCGUCUUGUUGUGGAGGCGCUCCGCGACCCCGGCGGGCUCCAUGGCUAGACCCAGAUUCGAGCGACCAAGUGAGAGAGCAGGUUGAGGACGGCGGGCUCCGUGGGCAGCAACCAGCAAUGGUGGAUUGGUGGGGAGGGCGGCGGUGGCGGGGGCCGCGGGCCGCGGGGGAGGGCGCGGAAAGACGAAAAGUUUCCCUAUCGUGGGGUCUCGCCACUGGCAGGCGGGUCCCAUUCUGUGGGCAGGUGGGGGGGACCACCAGUCAUUCCCACGCGCGGGGCGCGGCACUGACACGGGCACACGGCCGAGCAUAUAGUAGCUUCAAUUGCUUCAAGAUUCAUGUGCGAUCUACGUGCCAUCCGAUCACCCUCAUCUUCCUCUCCUCCUCUCUUCUCGUGCUGCCGCUCAAUCUCCCCAUGCCGUCGAGGAAUGCAAAUCCAGUGGAGCAGGCGGGAGGUAGUGGGAGCAGGUGGCGGGAGGUCGCCACCGGCCGGGGUGGUUGUUGAGGUCGGCGGGGGUAGGCUUUCGAGGUUACAGAGAGCUCCAAUGGCCACAAAGAGAGUCGGGGCAGCGGAAGGUCCGACGGCGAUGGAGGUGAAUGUCGUGGGAGUGUCGCUGGGCGGGCGUGGGAUUAGGAAGGACGGGGUCGAGGGGUCGACGGUGAACGGUGGGCGGGCGACGUGCUCGCCGCCGGCCGGGGUGGUGGAGGAGGGAGGCGGAGGUGGUGGUUGGCUGGAGGAAGAGGAGGAGGAAUGAGAUGGUCUGUCGGAUGAGCCAGAAGCUAUAUCUUCUAUAUAGCUUACGAAAACUAGAUAAGUCAAUUUCCUCAUUGUCACAAAAAUUUGUUGAGUUCUUUAUAUGCUAUAGAAUUUUUCAAAAUUCUCUCAGUGCUGUUGAAUCUAUGAUUUAUCCUCCACCAACCUUUGAAAGUGCUCUUACGAGUGGUUGGAAAAUAUAAUUGUACCCUAAUAAGUUAGCCCCCACCUGAUCCUUGCGUCGUUUUGUUCUACGCAUCACAAAUUCGCCUCCAUAAAGACAUCGACUUUCAACCUCACAAUCAAAGUACUUGACAAAAAGAUCGUAGACUUCUGAGGCCCUGUUUGUUUCCACCCUCCUAAAAUUUUAACUCCUAAAAGUGACUAAAAAGUUUUAGGAGGCUCAAAACCCCUAAAACCUCCUAAAACCAGUGCUGGACUCCCACUACCCCUCCUUUAUUGCCUCUGCCCCGCACCCUCCUCCCGACCGCACCCUCCCCGACCCUGCCGUCGCUCCCUCCCUCCUCCACACCGCCGCCCGCGGCCUCUCACCGGCGGCCGUGCCAUCCCCCGCCGGAUCCGCCGCCCCCGCUCCCUUGCACCGCCGCACGGGUCGGCCGUGGCGCUCCCAUCCUCCUCGGCGCUGGCUGCUCCUCUAAUCCGGCCGCCGCUCGAUCCGCCAUCGACGCCGGCUUCCGCGACCGAGAAUCGUCGGCUGGGCGCUCCCCAGCCGGAUCCCCGCCGCCGCCGGAUCCGGGAGAGGGAGGAUCGGGAGGGGGGCGGCCGUGCCGGGGAAGAAGAGGAGGGGAGGGGCGCGGCGACCGGGAUUGGAGGGGAGGGGGUGGCGGUCGAGGGAAGGAGAGAGGGGAGGGGCGUCGACGAAAGGAGGGGAGGGGGCGGCGCAGGCGGAAGGAGGGUGCCGGCCGCCGCCGCCGGGGUCAGCGAGAGGGCUCAGGGCCGGGAGGGGAGGGGUGGGUGCGUGUGUGUAGGGAAGAAGAGGAGGGAAGGGGUGGGCAGAGAAGGAGCAGGGGCAUUGGGGGAGGGUACUAUAGUCAUUUUACUACAAUAUUUAUUGCUUUUAGUCAGUUUUAGAGGUGAAACCAAACAUACUUUAGACCAUGGACUAAAAAUUGACUAAAAUUUUUUAGGAGCUAAAAUUUUAGGAGGUGGGAAACAAACAGGACCUGAGUCCUAAUUUCCCCCUACUUUAUUCAAAGUCCGUCAGUACAUACAAAUCAUCAAGUCGAAUACCAAGUACAUGUGCGCUGGUCAUGUACUUUAUUGGACACAUCUGCCGAAAUCUAACCAAAGUCAAGAAAAGCAGCUAUCCAAGACAAGAUUUUGAGGUGUUUGGAUCUUUAGUUCGAAUUAAAAUUUAUAUCACAUCCAAUAUUCGGAUGCUAAUUAAGAGGACUGAACAUGAGAUAAUUAUAAAACUAAUUACACGGAUGGAGAGGACUGAAUAUGAGAUAAUUAUAAAACUAAUUACACGGAUGGAGGCUAAUUCGCGAGACGAAUCUAUUAAACUUAAUUAAUCCAUCAUUAGCACAUGUUUACUGUAACAUCACAUUAUCAAAUCAUGGACUAAUUAGGUUUAAUAGAUUCGUCUCGCAAAUUAGCCUCCAUCUGUGCCAUUGAUUUUGUAAUUAAUCUAUAUUUAAUACUCCUAAUUAAUAUCUAAACAUUUGAUGUGACAGGAAUUUUAGGAGCUCCUAAAGAAACAAACGCCCCCACCAAGCAAUGAUUUUUUUUUCAGUUUCUUGGGAGUUGGGAAGUUCUUAGUGCAGACUGCAGACCUUAUGCACCUGUUAUUUUGUGACACAAUCGAGCUUACCUCAAACAAGGACAGGCUCGCUUCAAACGACGAGGAUCAAAGCAAAGAUGUCCAUGAAAGAUCGAGGAUGCCUUGAUAUUAUUCUGUUCUUAAUUCGUCCAGUAAUCACCAUUUCGAUCAGAAGAACGAUGCUGAUGGUUCUUGUUCCACCAUGUUCCAAAUCUCUACAUGUUCCAAAUCUCUACCUGCCCCUGUGUGACUUCGGGCCUGAUUGGUUGGCACCGAGGUAUGCCAAACUAAAAUCAGGGCAUUUGGCAGUUGUGAUUUGCAAAUGCCCUGAUUUGCCAUCAAACCAAUCGGGGGUAAAAUUUUGGAUGCCACGAUUUGACACCCAACCAAGCGUCAUCUCGGUCUGUUCGCUUCAAUUAAAUUUAGAUGAUUUAUCAGCCACCAAACAGUAUUUUUCUCUCACAAUAAAUCAGUCCUUUCAACUUUUCAGCCGCCUUACCCGCGGACUGCCGGAGUCGCCGCUCGCUCCGCAUGGCACCUGCGUGUGCGUCAGGCAGCAGGCUGGUGGGCUUGUGGCUCUCAAGCUCUGGAUGAGCAGAUGGACAGGAGUGCCGAGAAGAUAAGCUUCAGUAUUUUUUCUAUUCCCAUGUGGGUCCCACAAAUAAACCCAACCAAAAAAACAAACUAGGAUAAGGAGAUAUAUCUCAUAACCCUAUCCCUUUCCCACUGCAACCCAAGCCAUUUCCGUUUCCCAAUCCAAGAUACUGUCCAAACGCCAUAUAAGGGAAUAAUCGCCUCAAAAUUUUAUGAUAUACAAAGAACUCAUCAAAAAUUCUAUAAGGGUCUGUUUGGAUACAGGCUCAUAAAGUUUAGUACCUGUCAUAUCGGAUGUUUGGAUACUAAUUAGGAGUAUUAAAUAUAGUCUAAUUACAAAACUAAUUACACAGAUGGAGUCUAAUUCGCGAGACGAAUCUAUUAAGCCUAAUUAGUCCAUGAUUUGACAAUGUGGUGCUACAGUAACCAUUUGCUAAUGAUGAAUUAAUUAGGCUUAAUAGAUUUAUCUCGCGAAUUAGUAUAGGGGUUCUGCAAUUAGUUUUAUAAUUAGCACAUGUUUAGUCCUUCCAAUUAACAUUUCAACAUCCGAUGUGACCCCUCCUAAAGUUUAGUACCUCGUUGACUCAAGCUAUUUAGGAGCCCCCAAGGCCGUCGGAUCACUGACCCCGCCCAGAAGCGGUAAUCGCCUCUCCUCCGCUGGGCGGUGAUCUCACCGCCCCCCCAGAUCUCGUCUUCCCGUUCCCCCCCUCCUGCCCGAUUCAAAAUUUUCGAGACCUCCGCCACCGUCUCCACGCCACGGCAACUAGCCGUUCCUCUCCACCUCCAUGCCCAAACCCUAGGCGGCCACGCAGCGACCUCCGCGAGAGCCGGGCCGGCCAGCCAUGGAGCACCUGUUCAUGCAGGCCUUCGAGCGCGGGGAAUGGCUGGCCGCUCAGUUGCAGCAGCAGGUCGACUCCUACUCCCAGACCCUCGCCUGCAGCCUCCUCGCCGCCGGCCACAGGCCCCCGGAAUGGCUCCUCCCCUCCGCCACCCUGCCCCAAGGUGCGCCCCUCCUCCUUCUCCCUUUGUCUCCCCGCGUCGGCGUUAGAUUCAGGUCGUUCGUGAGCGGAGCGGGGUGGAUUGGGUUGGCCGAUUGGGGCUGAUUUCGAUUCGGACAGGGAUUGCGUAUUUGGAUUGGCAGGGCUGAUGGUUAGUGGUGAUUUGAGCUUAGAUUGCCCUACAGCAGGUUGUAGCUAACUAGAAUUUGUUUCUAACGCUAACAUUUUGUGGAGGAUUGAUUUGGCUAACUCCUUAUUUGUUAAAUCGGAGAAAUUGCCUAAGAGAAGCACUGUGGUUGGUGAUUGCUUGGUUUUACAGAAUGUUUCCUGCUGUCAUGACUAUAACAGAACGAUACCAUAGCUUUAUACAUGCCAUAGUUUGUUGUUGCCAGUAUACUGAAAUUUCAAUGGUUAAGCAAUAUAAUUUGCUACUAAAAGAAAUAAAAUACAAUUAUAUUCUACCCAUCCUUUUUGAAAUGUUGGACUACCUAAAGGUUGCACAAGUACAUAUAUAGUAGUUGGAUGUUCAUAUGUCAUAUCUAACCAUUUUGCUGUGAAUAUUGUUUCAUGAUAUCCUUCUGUGCGCUGUCAUUAUCUUUCUUUUUUAUUCAUAUACUGAAGUACUCCAUUAAUGUGUAGAGCUGAAUGGCAAACCGAUUUUUCUCACUGGAAGACACAUUACAACACCAGCAGUCAAUAGGAGUGUCUUCCUGCCUCAAGCUGUUCCUAGCACUUUGUCCAGAAAUUCGGAGGUUCCAAAUGGGUGUGCUUACCCAGACACCAAUUGUACUAGCCAACAUGAAGAGGAGCAGCAAGAUCAGACUUCACUUAACCAGGACAUUUCUGAGACUUGUACUGCUGCCAAAAUGUUUUCAAGGAUUCAGCGUUCCAGGUCAAGGCAAAGGCAUAUUAAAGAUCGCCUACAUGGAAAGGAUCAGGCUGCAAAGAUUGGAAGCCAUGAUGGUAUGCAUAAGUCUAACCUUGGAACUUUGGGGUCAAAUGGAGCUAGUGCAUCAUCAUCAUCAUCCAUACCAUGUGAUGAUGUUGCCGACAAUGCUGAAACAACAUCAUCAGUUCCAGGUCAGGGUAGUGGUUUUUGUGCUAUUCAGGGGAAGCCAAUUGACUUCUUGAAGUGUGUAGACAAUCUUGAAAAUCAAGGAGUUCAAUCAGAUGGUUUCCCGCAACAGAUUGUAGAGAGCAAAGUUGUCUCUUCCGAUAGCGACAUCAGGGUCAGUAACAAAUCUUCUGUUAGAGAUUCAUUGAGUGUGCCACUUCCAGAUCUCUCUAAGCCAAGCGUUGCAGAUAGUGUGUGCGACCGAAUUCCUGAAACUCACAUGUUGGUUGAGCCAAAGAAACUUCAAUUUGAUGGCAUUGAAUCAGUUUGUAUGAAUCCUACCAGUGAACAAAUGGGCCAGCAACAGGAUUCUGAUGCUAAAAGUGAGCAUCUUGAUAUUGCUGGUAGAAUUCCUUCAAGUGAAGAUGCAUCUUCUACCAGUUCUCAGGGACCUCAUUCUAUGGGUAGGUUAUUCCUUGAUCAGGUUAGGCUGGGAGAUUUGAACCCUGACGGUGCACCAGUGGAGCAGCAUCUCAAAUAUGCCUUAGAAUGUGUCCAUCCUGAUCUAACUGGUGUGCAUUCUCCAACCAAGAAACCAUCUCUGACAUGCCCUGCUGAAGGACCGGAUUCUAUUGAUCAACCAUUGCUUCAGGAGGAUACCGAGCAUGUCCCUGAAACCAAUUCUUUGGGAAGAGCAUGUCCCAGGGUCAGCCGACCACUUGAAAUUGAUACAUCAAAUAGUGAUAAAACCAAUUGUUCUCAAAGGCCUUGUUCUGUGGUCAACCCUCUGCUUGAAAAUGAUAUAUUGCAGGUUAUUGAGGAUACUGAAAAACUGCAGAGUUCCAAUUGUCAUGUAUCAUCUCCAUACAGUGGACCUUUGCAGCUACCUACCCAGCUAGCUGACUCAAGGUUUGGGGCUCAAGCAUCAUCAGGAACAUCACCAAGCAGUCUUUUAGGGGAGGAUGGGCAUGAACAUCUUUCAGAUUUGCCAAUAAAUAACAGUGGAUCUUUGCAGCUACCUACCCAGCUAGCUGACUCAAGGUUUGGGGCUCAUGCAUCAUCAGGAACAUCACCAAACAGUCUUUUAGGGGAGGAUGGGCAUGAACAUCUUUCAAAUUUGCCGAUAAAUGACAGAAACAACCGAUGCUCCCAAGGGAGAUCUGCUUUAAGCCUAGAGCUGCUUCCACCUCAAAAUUUUACUUCCAAUGAUGUUUGUCAAUCAAGCCUCUUGCCUUAUAGAACGCAAAGCAAUGACAAACAUUCCAAUGGUUGUACUGCUGUGAGUAACUUUAAGUCUGCAGAUAAUGAGUUAUCUCAGAAACCAUAUUUAUCGGUCAGAUCAUCUUUGGAACUUAAUGGGAGUAUUCCAGAUGCAGAAACUCCAUUAGGCCAUCCUCCUCUGGACAUGGAAAAUGAGAUGCUCAAAGCAAACUCAGUAUCUAACUCGGUCAGCUGUUAUUCAGGAAAGUUGGGUGAUGAUGCUCAUAUCAGCAGAGCGUAUGGUGGUUCUGCUGAUAACGGAAAGCACGAGUCUGUGGUUCUGAAAGUUAUGCCCAGUAAUUCAUCUCAAAGAACCAGAGAGAUGCAUGGAACAGAAAGGAACAGUAUGGUUUUGUUGGAAAAAUGCAAUGAAAGCCUGCAUCAAGGUAUCAUGAUUGCUCCUUGUAGAUCAUUAUCCUCCUGUUUUAUAGCAAAUGACACUGAUAUAUUCUUACAAAACUUGCAAUCUUUCAGGAAAAGAACAAGAGACCCCUCAUGCUGAGGAUGAUUUGCAGAUGAAUGCUAAUUCAUGCACAGCCGAGAAUAUUGAGAAAAGGAAGUCUGCAAGUACUUCAGAAUCACGUGAGAAGAGCAAUAACCACCAGGAGGACACAAGAACUGCUCAGAAGAAGUCAGUUGCAGAUGGUGUUCAGAUAAAUGGGGGUACACCAUCCAAGAGAAAACGAAUAAAACGCCAGGACAUUGCGCUUCCCAGUUCUUAUGACACAAAACCAUCUUCUUCGAACCACCAAGAUGCCAUUGGCACUGAUAUGGUAACUGCAGAAAAUUUCUCGGGGAAAUCACAACCUUCAGGUCGUUACUUCUUAAGGAGUUCAGGAUUCAGUGAGUUCAUGUCUCUCAAGUCUGAGACAAAGAAUGAUAUAAUGAACUGCAAGAUGUCAGUUGCAAGUGAUGUUCAACAAAAUAGGAAUUCUUCUCCCAAAUUAAGAAAUAAGUCCAGCCUAUCCGAGGUUGCCCUCUGUAACUCUUCUAGUGCGAAGGCUUUAUCACCUCAUGUUGGUUGUGGUAUCAGGAGCAAGAUUGCAGUUGAAGAAAUGGACCUCCAAAAUUAUCAAGUACAGUUACAAAAUAUUUUGGAUGUUGCAACUUCUCCUUUGCCUAGCAGCUGUAUUAUGUCGCUUGAUAACACGGAACACUGCAUACGAGAGGUAUGUGUUCAGUUAGUGCUCCAAUUCUUCUAUUCUGAAAUUGUGAAAAUAUCAAUCUAAAAGACUAUACAUCGGAUUUCCAAGUACAAGUUUAGAGAAUUGGAUUAUUAAGUGGAAAUUUGGUUCAUGGCUGAUUCUUUUUGAAAACUGUGUUCAUGGCUGAUUCUUAAAGAUAUUGUUAGACUUGUUGGGUAGCUGAAUUCCAUUUGUUACAUUUUUAGCUGGUAGAGUUUUGCAGUGUUCAGUCUGAAAUCUAGCUUACUGUUUUCUGUGUGUGAGUGAAUUCCAGAGCAUUGACAGCUUUUCUUCUUUGUUGACAGGAAAAUCCUUACUUACAAGGUGAGGGCCUAAGUGUUUCUAAUUCCAGUGUAGAGCAUAAGCAAAUGGCUCUUCGGAUGGAUGAAAUAUUGUCUCAGAGUGUGAUAAUAAAUCCAGAAAAUUAUUCCAGGACUGAUUCAACAAAUAUAUUUCCGGGUUGUGCAUCGGAACAACAUGGUAAACAGGCAUCUGCUCCAAUUGCAUUGUUUCAUGAGAAAUUAAGUUAUGGCUCUGGCAUAGAAGUUGAUAGGAAACUUAGAAGUGAAGACCUAACUGGAUGUUUGCUGUCUGCUUCCACUAUACCAAGACAAAAGGAUAAUGAAGCUUUGGACUGUAAUGAUACAAUGCCACAAUUCGAGUGCUUUGAUUUUUCUGUUCCAGACAGUCCAACUACCAAAGAAAGGCCAUUUGAUUCCCUUUGUGAUACCAGAGAAUUUGCUACUUUUAGUUCUGAUAUCUCCGAGAAGUAUAAGACGAAUACUCUGAGUGGCAUGCGUCAGCUAUUGGCAACUAUGUCAGGGAAAGCUGCAAACUGUUCAUUCGAUGAUGAUGAGAGACAACACAAUGAUAGUGUCGAUGGAAGAAUAACAGACAUAUUUGGCUCAUGUGGAUUGGGACACAAUGGUUCAUUUUUUACUUCUGAUGUUGUAGCCUCAUAUUCUUCAAAUGCUAGAGACAAACAGGAGAGUAGUGAAAAUCCAUUGACCCCUGCAGUUGAAAAGUAUAGUCUGGGGAAACUUUCAGGAACAAGUGGAUCUGUUUCUGAGCAUAUGGGUUCAAUUCCUGAGCUUUCGUGCUUCCGAAUUGAUGAAGACAGUGACAUUGCAGAAGAAAAUGAGUACCAAGACAUAUUACCUGGAUCUGUAGGUACCCAGAGGCAAUCUGGCAGAAAAGUACUUCAGGAUAUCACUAGAUUGUGUCAAAACACUGGGAAUUCUGCUUCUUGUUCCAUAGGUAUCAUGGAUACAAGUGACACAAACUUCACCACAGAAACUUGCGGCAGUGAACUCAAUCAUCAACCAGGUCUCAGGAAUGAUGGUGAUAACAAGAAAGCUAAAGAAAGUUAUGCUUCUUUAGUAAAGAAAGGAGGGAAAAUGUCUCGUUCUUUCCGUGACAGAUUAAGCAAGACAGAAGCAAGGCACAUGAGUGAAGCAAAUACUGGCAAACGCUCUAAGCCUAGCAAUAUUGUUGCUAAUGUGGCAUCUUUUAUACCUCUUGUAAAACAAAAGGUGCAACCUGCAGCAUGUGGUAAGUCUUAUUUGUUUACUUGCACUAUUUAAUAUCUGAUUAGUAUGCUAAAUAUAUUGUGCAACUGAUCCUUUGAGGUACAAGUAUUUGUUUGAGUGGUGCUCACAAAAGGCCUCUACAAAUCGCUCUGUCUUGUAGUGAAAAAAGAUGUUAGGGUGAAGGCACUUGAGGCAGCGGAAGCUGCAAAACGUCUUGAAGAAAAGAAACGAAAUGAGCGUGAAAUGCGCAAAGCAGCCACAAAACUUGAGCGUGAGAAACUGAAGCAAGAGAAAGAAUUAAAGCAAAAACAUGAAGAGGAACAGAAAAAGAAAAGAGAUGUUGAUGUAGCAACUAGAAAGAGGCAGAGGGAUGAGGAGGAAAGGAGGGAAAAGGAGAGAAAAAGGAAAUGCAUUGAGGAAGCUCGAAAACAACAGAAGCAGCCUAUGGAAAAAAGGCAUGCCAACAGUGAGAAAGAUGCUCAUCCAAAAGCUUCUGUGAGUAAAAGCUAUAUGCUUGAUUUGUAUGCAAGUGUUCCUUAGAUAUAUAGUUGUUAUAAAGUAUCUUAAUCAUUGCAGGAUAACAAGGAGUUGCAGAAGAAUUUGGCUGAAUCAGUGAAAGGCCAAGUUAAACCUGAUGAUAUGGCAAGUCUUGGAGAUAAGGCCACAAAAGGUAACAAUGAAAAGGUUGUGGUGGCUGAUGAGAGGCCUGGAAGUUUUGGAUCUCAAUCUCAGGAAAAUAUCCCAAAGAGUCUUGAAGAGGUAUGUUUGUAGUCUUUACGUAACUUCAUCUUGGGGAGAUACUUGCCUGUGUAAGUAUCCAUGAAACAUGUAGGUUUUUUAGACUAAUCACUUCAAAUUCAACAGAUUGCUUAUAACAUAUUAAAACAAGUCUUUGGAAGAUGUCUCACUAAACAUUUUUUUAUUUGAGGCCCUAAGUCUUCGAAACUGUGCAAAUUGCUGGAAUGUAGAUAUUGCAGCAUAAUUUUCGGAUGGCGAAAUUGAUGUAGAUUGCCAAGCUUGGCUAUUUUGAUUCAUUUCAUACUGCUAUUUCACUUCAGUGUCAAUGAAGGUUCUAAUUACAAAUUCUCUGCUCUGUGGGUUGUUGAACUUUGUAGCCUUAUUUGAUGACUCCAUAUAAAGAUUCUGAUGAUGAGGAUGAUGAUUUUGAACUAAAAGAAGAAUCAAGACGGAGAAGGAAAUUGAUUCCGUCAUGGGCUCGGUAUGUGUCUACCUUACAAACACGGAAUUUCUUAUUAACCUAGCAGCUGUUCUUAAAUAUGUUGAUGUGAUGCCUGAUGUGGCACGGCAAAGCUCAGGAGCCACAGCUUCCUUUUUGCCAUUCUUGCAAAGUUUGCAUAAAAUUGCGCUUGCCUUCCAGUUGAGCUCAUUGUAGAGGGCCAUGGGAUGAUUCUCUUUGCAUAAAUAAAUUGAUCAUCACUCUGAUGUAACUGCGAAAAUGGAGGCAUCUCUUUACUGCUUUGCUCACUUGAUUCUGCUUGUCAUUUUCCCUUAAGGCUGCUAAUGACAUGGUCUUUGUCUCUGAUUUGCAGGGGGGAGAAAUUGGAAAAAAUCUUACUAUCCAAUUACGCUUUGGACCAUAGAGAAAUCUUUGCACGAAAAUGCUCCUCUAACCUAUCUGAAAGUAAUCUCCCAUUCAUCAAUAUCCUUUUCAAUUAAAUUUGUUCUAGAAAUUUCUACCACUUAUAUUGCUGUUUCCUUUGCAGUUUGUCCAGUCCACAUUCCGCAACGUAGUUUCAGAUGAGUUUUUUUUUUCAAUAGAAGGGGUCCCAGAUGAGUUCCCAUUUGACGAACUGUUGGUUAUAUGCUGCCAUCUUUCUUCAGCAUCGCCAUUUGGCUUCACUUCUGUCAGUAGCAUGUCUAUAAGCUGAUCACACCAUUCUCUCGUUUCAACUAUGUAGAAGAACAUUCUUGUAUUAUCAGGCAAUUGCGGCAACGAUCGUUGUUGUGCAUAGUUUUGAUUUGUUCGCAAAGACUUUGCUUCGGUUGCAUUAUUCUUUGUGCAAGCUAGGAGAUGAACUGCUCGUUGAUAAGAGUAGCAUUCCUGUCUAAUGGCACUGUGCUCAAAGGAGCAGCAUGGUAGCAGCAAAAGCUGCUUGUGUACAUUAUGUCCAGACUCUAGCAUGUAAUUCCAAGAAGUGAUUUUAGGCAUCAAAAGAAAAAUAUCUGCUGCUUUUUAUGCAAAGAGAUGCCAUCUUGGAAUGUUAAUAAAUCGGUUUGGAUCAAGGAAGCAAAGCUUUCUUAUACUGAACUGAAUAUAACGGGACUGGAUACUCUAUUUGGAAGGAAAAGGAACGAGGAACGAGUAACAGUAGGAAACACCCAUGUGUCACGAGAACAUUGCAGUCAAAGAAUUGUAUUCCCCCAUAAGCUAAUUAUACGCGUGGCGUUCGUGCUCGUGCGGCCUGGUAAUGCAGCGCACGUAACUGGCGCCCUAGGGAUUUAGCGUGCGCCCCAGGCGGCCAUGGCUUCCCGUGCGGCGGUGACGGUCGAGUGCGUGUCGCGGUCGCUGUGGCGAGCAGGUCGACGACGAGGAAGCCAUUGGCCUCGAGAAUGGCCAUCCGCCAGUUCGCGCGCACGCGUUCACGCCCCUCGCCGUGCAUGCCGCUCCUCGCCGGUCUCGCACGUCGAGCUUGCCCUCCGGCGCCACCUGCACGCGCAAGUGGUUAGUGCACAUGACCACAGAACGCCAUGCGUUGGGACUAGACUAACCCGCGAGCAGAAGCUAGUUGCAUGGCCGCAGAGGGAUCGGAUCAUGGUUCACGGUUGUUGUUGGAGUGGCCGGACGGCGAUGACAGUGAGAGCAGAGAGCACACGGCCCUCGCAGAAGCGAGGCUUUCUGCUCGCUGGUGCUGGGUUGUGCUCUCUCUCUUCUGUCAUCUCCCUAGAGGUCCGUCCCACUCCACCGUCCUCCAUGCCCGGGCGGUCGCCCUCCCCCCUUGCCGCGAACCCUGCACACCGACCAAGCAACCAGAGACGCCAUCAGUCUCGGCGAAGCCAUCGUGCGAUGGUAUCAACCAGCAGAAUAGCAGAUAGCCACGCCCGAAUCGGAAAGGUGCAGAUGGAUGGAGGAGUUGCUUAGCUUGGUGACGGCGAGGAGGAGAACGAACGGAGCGUGAUGGCCGCAGAGCAAGACUCCGAUCCGGUGCUCUCGCCUCCCGGCCAUGGCUUGCGCGCGUGCGAGGUCUGUAGCUGUAAGCGAGGUGGCUGUGCCUGCGAAGCGUUUGCGACUCAAAUAAGAGCGCCGCGCGCCGGGCCGGUGAGGCACGGGGGCGCUGCUGCUGCUGCCGCUGCGGCGUAGAACGUGGGAGGCGUGUUUACUCGGGGGUCGGGCGCCGAGGACGUGGCCCUGCGGCCGCGCCGCGGCCAGUGCCCAUUUCGGGGACGGCGAUGAAUAGCGGCCGAGCAGAGCAGGCGCGCGCGUUAACUCCGGCUCGAGUUAAUCCGCCGCGCCGCGCGAUGGCCUGCCUGCAGCCGCAGCCGCUGCGGGGGGGCUCGUGCACGUCGCGCUCGCGGCGCAGCUAGGCUAGCGUGCACGCAGCCAGCAUCGUUCACGCGCGCCGCACGCGGCCGUGGUUCGGUCACGGUCCGCAGGAGAGCUAGCUGGGAGGCGCUGUAGGGGGAUCAGGGUGCACGCCUCGGGCGUGCCCGUGCUUGCUGAGCGUGUGUGAUGCGGGUGAUGCAGGUCUUGCAUUGCAUCAUCAGUUGAUGCAUGGACCAGCAGCGGGCAUGUAGGAACUGUUGCAGUGAGACAGCGACGACCAAGCUGUAGGAAGAGCUCUGAAUUGUUUUUUGAUUUCUCUUGCAUACGGUCGGCAUAAAUUUUGUUCUGAUGCAUAGAUUAUGAGACGGAACACUGCUGAAACUUUGUUCCUGAUAACCAGAGCCGCAAUAAACGUUUAGUAGCAAAUUUAAAGGCAUCAAGUUCAAUUACAGACUUGCUUUUAGGUGACCCGAUCGAAUCUUCUUCCACGAUCAGCCACUGACAUCACUGCCGUCUUUGGCGCCAUCACGGCGGCCGCCGUUGGCCACGACCGUGGUCUCCCGGAGCAGCAGCCGGAGGCACCUCCUGUAGACGCCGGCGUUCAUCUCGAUCGGCUCCACGGACGUCGUCAUCUCCUCCUCCUCCGCGCGCAGCAGCUGGCCCAUGUCCGCCAGCUCGCGGGCCCUCGUCCACGCCAUCCCGUCGUGGAGCCUGAACCGCUCGCCGCCGCCCCUGGCCAGCUCGCCGGGCACCCUCCUGACCACCAGCGCGCCGCUGACCGCGCCACUGGCCCAGAACGCGUUGGCGAGGAACAGCCCGGGGGUCAGGUCCCACACCCUCACCUCGCCGUCCUCCGAGCACGACACCAGGUUCCUGCACCCGUUGGCCAGGGCAACCGCGACCAGCGCCGCGGCGUUCGUGCUGCCUUCGCUCGAGUGUGAUGCUGUGGCCGUCGUCACGGCCUUCGUGCACGGGGAGUUGAGGGAUGCGACGUGGACGCGGCCGUCUGAGCCGCCGGCGUAGAGGUUGGAGCUUGUGGGGUCUAGCGCGAGGGAGAGUGCGGUGCACGGGAGCGCGAGGGUCCGGAGGUGGGCGCCGUCCGCCAGCCUCCAGACCUUGCACGUGCCGUCCGCGGAGGCCGACGCGACGACGGCGUUGCACCCGCCGCGCCCGCACACAACGCUGGUCACGGGCGCGACGUACGCGGCCACGCGGUAGAUGGCGUGGUCAACGUUGUCGGCGGCGGAGGCGACGCUCGCGUCGUCGGCGUCGAGGACGCGGAUGAGCGGGAACACGGCCACCCCGCCGUCGUCGCCGCCGGACACGAGGAGCGAGCCGUCGUCGCUGAGGGCGAGGCAGGAGACGGCGCCGCCGCCGUGGGCGCGGAAGGAGCUGGCGACGCCGCCGGACGGGAGCGCGAUCGCGUGCACGCACCCGGACACGCCGCCGGCCAGGAGGUGGGUGCCGUAUGGCGCCGCCACGAGCGCCGCCACGAGCUCGGGGACCGGCAGCUCGCGCGCGGGCGCCGGGGACCACCACUGGAGCAGGCGGAUCGAGCCGGCGCCCGUGGCCGGGCAGACGUGGGACGCCGCGACGAACGCCGUGCCGCCGGGACCCGUGGCGACAGCGAGGCCGUGCCGCGGCGUGUUGGCGGCCGGGAACUCGGCCAGAACGUCGCCCGUGAGCGCGUCGUAGGCGGUGAUUGGCCGGCCGUGGGGUGCCGCCAGGAUGAGCUCGCCGCCUCCCCGCUGCGAGGAGGAAGACGCCGCCAUCGCCACCACGCGGCUGCGCCUCUGCCCCGUGUGGCUCGUGACCACGGCAACCUGGCCCUGGCCAGUGCAAUGUGACGUGCUCAGGUCCACUGGAACAAGUGUGACGCAAUGUGGUUUGGUAUUAAGUCUUGAGAGUAAGUAGUAACUGAAGCGCUUAGCUGAGCUGUGCUGUUGUUCGCUUGUGGCCUUGUGGGUGUGCAGCGUGAUAUGAAAACAAUGAGAUAGAGAGACGCUAAGAAAUGGAUGCCCUGUUCAUCAGUUACUAUAGGCCUAGGCCUACCCUUUCAAAAUUCAGGAGGGAGACUGGGAGAGGCAAGUACAAAGGAUAAAACAUUUGGUGGGAUGCGACUUGCACGAACAGUGACUACCCAGUGUUGCACAUUCGUGGAAGCAAGUCAUCCUAAACAAAAAGGGAAAAUGGUGGCAAUGGGAGGAGAAGUCGGGUGCAGCACAGCAGCAGUUAUAUGACUUUAAGAACCUAUAAUUUAAAUCUAGGUCAUGUUUGUUUCAACUUAUUGAUUAUGAAAAAGCAGCUUGCACAUUGUAAUGAUCCGUAACAAUCUGGCCUAUAGGUUGCUAAAAUCCUAUGUGGAAGCUCGUGUUAACCUGUAAACAAAAAUUCCAAACUAAAACAAACACAACCUUAGGGCAAGUACAUUGCUACACGUCAGCAGUCUCGUAGGUCGUCUCAUGCAGUGCCACGUAGGAUUUUUGAUGAUGUGGAGGAGAGAGAGCGAGGAGAGAGAAAGAUGUCGUUGCUUCGCGAAACAACCACCUCAUAAGCUAAAUUGUAGGACUACGAGACAACUUAACAACCAUUGUACGAGUUAUUGUUGCCAUGCAACUCAUAAUAUUUUAUUUUUCUUAUGCACAAAUUAAGGAAUUAUAUACCACUAUCAGACAAUUUAUAGAAUAACCCAUUGUACGGGUUGCCUGUUGAAUCGUCUCAAGAUUACGUGUUAAUGCAUGAGACCACCUAUUAGACGACACCCAUGUACUUGCUCUUAGUGAUACACAUGAGAGUUAACGAGAGAUAAAAGUGGUAACAUCUUUAUUUUCCUUUUUCUAAGGAGCGUUUUUGUUGGUUGGGGUUUCGUACCUUGCAAGAAUUCAGCAAUGACCCGCUCUUUCUCUAGGCGAAGGGCUGAAGUAUUUGAUCAAAUAGCAGAAAUUUUUACAGAAACGACUUAUUGAAUGAUUUCAGUUUCUUUCAGCAAACUGAGAAAAACGACUGGUUCCUGACUGCAGCAACAGCACGACGCUUGACUUAUUUCAUCAAAAAUAAGCAUAAGCAAAAAUGGUCAGUAAUCCCGUAAAAGUAUUGACGAAUACUAGAUCAAGAAUACCCAGCAGAUCACCUACAAAUCCCUACCAGGACCUCCAGCUGCCGAAUCGCAUUUUUUAGAUGAUAGGGAAGCAAGACGAACAUAAGAAGCGUUCAAACAAAUUAACUGGUUAAUGAUGUGAGCAAGAACGUUUUUUUACAAAUAAUCAUUGGAACAAACAUAUAAAUCGUCAGAAGUUAAAAGGAUUUACACAAGCCACGCUGAAAAUUUCGUUCUACCAAUAACACAUGAUCGCUUGAGACUCGAGACAAUUCAUGAACUAUCAAACGAAAAAACAUAGACUGUUCAUGAACGAACAAGCAACGCAUCGGAUCCAGCGGAAUCGAGCAGCAGCUAGUAUCCUGGCGAGGCAGCCUGGGCCUGGCGCUUGAUCUCCGACCAGAGGCUGCGGAUAAGGCGUAGGCUCUUCCCACCCGUAGUCGGCCUCGGCACUGGCCACAUCCCCUUCCGCGCGGCGGCCACGGUGGCGGUGGUGUCGGAGGCGGACGAGCUGGGGGCGCUGGACGGAGGCAGGGACGGCGGCGGAAUCUUCGUCGGCGACGGCGAGGGCUUGAUCGUCCUGACGUGUCGGCGCGGGACAUGGACGGUGCCGUAGGGGUCACCCGGCGGCCAGUUGCCGUCGUAUACGACCUCGUAGCCUCCGUGUGUGGGCGACACGAUCGUCGCUCUGAACCAGAACACGAGAACCUCCCCGGUCUUCAGCGUCGUGGUCCUCGUGCGGACGCCGACCUCACUGCCAGGUCUCAGGUGCUCGCCAGCGCCGAGGGUGGAUGGGCUUGCGGACCCCGCGGAGGAGGGGGCGGAGCGGGGCGGCGGCUGCGGCGUGGAGGGAGAGAUGACAUUGGGGCGCAGCGAAGGGUGAGGCCGAUGUCGCGGCGCGUGGGUGCUGGCGGACUUUGAGUUGGUGGACGACGGAUCAGCACCCUCACGCGGCGGCGGCGGCGGCGCGGAUGGCGUCGUCUUGGCGACCGAUCUCUUGGGACCGGAUCGAGGAGGAGAAGCGGAGAUGGCGGAAGGUUGGCGGUGGAUGGAUUGAUCAGAGUAUCGGAUCGAGCAGGAUAGGCUGUUUUGGACCUGGACGAGCCCGAUCCGAAGUAGGCUAGACGGGCCAGUUGCCGUGAGUGGCAAGUUGAAUGGAUUGAUUGAGAGGCCGGCCGGAUAGUUUCCAUUUUUUUUAAAAAAAAUCCUAUUUACCUCCCUGGACAAUGGGUCGAGUCCGCGUUUCCUCCCACAACUCAAAAACCAUCCGUUCUGCCUCCUCGUGCUUCUGAAACCGGAUACGAAACCACCCCAACCGAAAUACAGUACACAUCACCAAUCAUACGUGUCCAAGGCACAUGCUAGUGUGUUUCUUCCUCCCUCCUUCCUCUCUGUCGCGCCCUCCUCAUCUCAUUCCCACGCUCGCGCCGGACAUGGCGGGCUCAAUGCCGACGUCCUCCUGGAGAUCCUGCUGCGCGUCCCGCCGUGCCCGCGCCGGUGGCUCCGCCUCGUCUGCCGGCACUAGCGCGGCGUCAUCAACGAGCGCUCACCACGAGCCGAGGGCGGCGCGUGGGGAGCAGCAAAAAGUCAGAAAUUUUUGAAAGAAGCAAAAAGUCAGAAAUACUCCUGGGAGUGUUCUAGACAUAUGGACACCUGGGAGAUUUUGCGUGGAGGAUGGACUGUUGAUAAACAGUCGAUGCACUUUUCAGGCUGUGACCCUGUGCUGCUGCUGCCGCCAUUUCCGGCAGGAGGCGGGGCACACAAUCCACCGGCGUUGGGAGGGCUCGCCGGCUCGCCGCCGAGCACCUGCACGAUAUGAUUAUUCGCUCUCCGGAACCCUCCCGCUUUUGCUCUAGUGCCGGAGAGCCCGGAUGAGCCAUUUACACUGUUCCACGGGCCACGACAGUAGGUGCAUCUCGAAUCCUCCCGGUCCUUUUCGAAAUACGUACUACCCCACGUAUUUCAGAACAGUGCCUGCAUUAUUCCGGUCUUACUCAGCAUGAUCCCUACCCAGCGCGAAAAGGAUUCGCCGGCCAGCAAAGCACGGUGCUUGGUAUAAUGGUAUACAUAAUACGUAAUGGUCCUUAUAGCCAGGCUCAGCAUCUCGAUCUAUAUAUAGUGGGUUAUGCAUGGCCAGGCUCCGGCGCUCCGCAGCAGCGAGCUGAUUGGUCAGCUUAAUUUGUGGUCAUCUGAUCGACCAGUAGUCAGCACACUCACCACCAUGGCACCAUCCACCAUGAGACUUGAUCCAGCUUCUCAUCCUUCUCUGCUCCUCGUGGCUCCUCCUCCUUCCUUCAAUCCGCUGACGCUAAGAGGACGCUGCUGGCGCCGGAGGGCUGGAUCAAGCCCUCCCUCUUCGAUGGCAUCCCCAACAACAACGACCUCUUGUACGUAAUAGAACAAGUUCUACCUAGCUACUACCUGUGUAAACUGUAACAUUAAUGGCAUCGUGAAGCCCUGCUACCACAGUGUGUUAACGUAACUGCUGCUGCAUCCUGUUGAACGUGCCCCUUAAUUUGUACAUGUAGGAUGGUACCCAGCUCCAGUUCAAGUCCGUGGCCCAGAACAGGUACCUCGUCGCCGACCAGGGCAGCGGCGCCGCCAUCCUCGCCGACCGGGAGCAGCCGUCCGGCUGGGAGACCUUCAAGGUUAAUUACUAAUUACUAGUUUACUACUAUAUGUAUUAUUAGUUGAUGGGCCGCAAAUGUGCAUCCGCGCUGUUAGCCAAAAGUUUCUCAUCCUCACUAAACCACACUUGUACGUACUCACGUUUUUUCCCCCUUAAUUUCGAUCCAUGCAGCAAUGGAGGAUCAAUGAGACGACGUUCAACUUCCGCGUGUUCGGCAACCAGUUCGUGGGCGUCGACAGCGCCGGCAGAGUCGUCGCGACGGCCACCAAGCCGGGGCCGUCGGAGACGUUCCAACUCGUGCGCCGGGACGGCGACAAGAGCCGGGUGCGCAUCAGGGCGCCAAACGGGCUCUUCUUGCAGGUAACUGACGCUAUGCAAUGGCAUGUUGGCGUGCCUGCACGUGCAAGGCCGGCAAGGCUGGCAGCAAGUUUCCAGCAUGCGUACUUUUCUUGGAUAAUGGCCUAGAGUGAUGUCAGAAUUGCAAUUGCUUUUAACAUUCAAAGAAGCACAUGUAACGUUCAAAAAAGAAGAGUAUUUGAACAGUCUAAGGUCCUUUUGUUUGAGAUUAUAAUCCACCUAGAUUAUAUAAGUUGGAUUAUGGGUGAUGUGCACCACUUCGGACUACAACUUAUUUCAGAUUAUUUGUGGUCCUAGAGUGAUCUAUGAUGGUCUUUUAUCUUAUUACCCUUGGACCAUAAUCUAGUUUAUAUAAUCUACGAGGGAAACAAACAUACAUACAUGAAAACAGAAUAUAAAUUAUCCCUAUCACGUUCCUUUGAAGCUAUCUAGUUUUUUCAAAUUAUAUAGGUUCGUGUGCUUUGACAAUAUAACAUUGUUUUUUUUCCUAUGACGUCAGGCAGAGACCAUGGAAUUGGUGACAGCCGACCACGGCGAGGACACAGACUGGGGUGACGAUGACCCAUCAGUUUUUGUGACAAAUAAUGUCGCCGGCUUACAAGGGGAGUAUCAGUUGUUUAAUGGCUAUGGCAUAAGAAAGGCGAGACAGGUGCUCAGGGUAAGAAAUCAGCGUGCUCUUUGUUUGUUUUGUUUUGCUAUGACAUGGUCUCAGGUCAGUUUUGAACUUCCUUGUUUGUUUUUUGCAGGAUCACUGGCGCACAUUCAUAACUGAGAGCGACUUCAGUUUCAUCGCAUCAAGCGGACUGGACGCGGUGAGGAUCCCAGUUGGGUGAUGGAUUGCCAGUGACCCAUACCCUCCACGUCCUUUCGUUGGAGGAUCCCUCCGGGCCUUGGAUAAUGCAUUCCGCUGGGCAGAGUAUAUCAUUUGUCUCUCCAUAUCUCAACUGAUGGACUGAACAAGAAACUUAUAUCAACGAAACAAUAUCAUUUUUGCUCCUUAAAUUGUGUUGUGUCCAUAAAUAGGAAGUACAACUUGGGCGUUAUUGUGGACUUGCAUGCUGCGCCGGGGUCCCAAACCCUUACGAGCACAGUGCCACCAGAGACGGCUCGCAAGAGUGGGGCACCAACGAUGAAAACAUAGACUUCAUCGCAUCAAGGUCAGUGAUCACUGCAGGAUCACAAAAUCUCUAAUAAUAAACUCUUUUUUAUCUCUCUCAUAUUAAAACUGAACAUAUUACAUAUAUAACCCAUUGAUGAAAAUUCCGAACUGACCAACAUAACCAGGUACGCGAAGAGUCCGAGUCAACGCCGUGCGGCGGCACGCGCCGACGGCCUACGUGAUCAUGCCGGCGAGGCUCGCCGCCGACGAGUCCGAGCUCCUCGGGUUCGCCGGCCGCUUCGCCCGCGCCGUCCUCGACGUGCACUACUACAACCUGUUCAGCGGCGCGUUCGACCACCUCACCGUGGACCAGAACAUCGACUUCGUCAGGAAGAACCGCUCCUCCGACCUCGCCGCCGUCACGAGGCGGAAUGGGCGCCCUCUUACGUUCGUGGGUACGCAAGCUCGUCUUGGCAGUGCCCUUUUUUUUUUGUCACGAACAGGGAACAGCCUAGUUUUUCCUUCUCUUCUUCCUCGUGCGAUUUUUAUGUGAUGUGAUUUACAAUUUUAGAGGGGAGUGGGUGGCCGAGUGGAACGUGCGAGAGGUGCGAGCAGCAAAAGGGAUUACCAGAGGUUUGCGCAGGUGCAGCAGGACGUCUACCGGCGAGCUACCUUUGGGUGGGCAUAUUGGAUGCUCAAGAACGUGAAUAACCAACCAUUGGAGCAUGCAGUGGAUGAUCCAGAACGGGUACAUCACGUUGAAGAACAGCUUGCAGAGCAACGCAGAAAUUUCGCUGGAGCAGGAGUGGGACGAUGCAUGAGAAGAUGGAAGGAAGAAGGCCAGAGCAGAAUGCUAUUUUAAAAUUAGUUGAGGGUCAAUUUCAGUGGGUCCUAGUUGGUUUGUUCAAUUAGUCAGGUUGGUGUUUUAUGUGUUGUUUUCAAUCCGACCCGACUAGGAGUCCAUGGGGUCAUGUUGUUAUCGAGUCCAAUAAGGAUCAUGUCUUAUGUGUGAUAUAUCCGUCAGUCCAUGCCUGCGUGAGCUAUCCAUGGAGCACUUGUCACAGGAAAAAACUUACCCCAACAGAUCUACAUCGUUCCCGUAAAAAUACGACGACGCGAAAAACACCUCCGUCGCUCCGCGUAUAUGCGCGAGUCCGGUACUUCCCCAAUCACCCUCGAACUACUCGUGCUCGGAAUUUCCGGCGCCCACUUCGUCGUCGGGCUGUUCUGGCAGCCGGCGGGGGUCGAUGCUGCAGUAAACAUCGCGGCCGCAGCAGAGGUCGCCGGCGCAAAGGCCGGUUGCGGCCGCACGCUAUCCAGGCCCGGCCGCAGGUUCCGGUCUUGCAGUCCCUGCCGCAGUGGAUAGCACCAAUGCUGCAGUACCCAUCGUGGCUGCAGCAGAAGUUGCCGGGCAAGGCUGCGCCGCCGGCUUGCUUGCCGCAGCGCCGAGCGGGCUGCAGGCGCCACUCUGGCAGCCUUGGCCGCAGUAGUCGCCGCCGAGGCCGCAGUACCCCGACUUGCUGGAGCAGAGGUUGCGAGGGCACAGCAUGCCGCCGCCCUGCUCGCCACACCUCUGGGAUUGAGCGGCCGCCGUGGCGCAGCUAAGGGCGAGGAUGACGACGCUUAGCACGAGGGCCGUCAUGGCCACCGUACCUGGUUUGUCAUGGCCACCGUACCUGGUUUGCAGCUCGCGCUGCGGUAUCACUCCCAGUCCCAGCUACUUGUUCGGAUUGUUUGCUGGAUGAGCAACGCGGCGUACGACGCGGCGAGCUCGGAGACGGCCGCGAGCCGGUCGGAGCUCAAGCUACUAGAGCCGCAACAGAGGGGAGGAGUCCACAUGCUGACGUGAUCAGUUUUGAAGUAUUGAAGAGUUUAUUAUUAUGAUCUGCUGUGGAAUGAUAUGAGUUUGGAAUAAAUUUUUACAAGAAUUCUCAAUAGAUAGUUUUGGGAAAGAUUUUUUUAGACUCUUGAAGUUGUUCGACCGUGUUAUUCUGUACCGUUAGACUAUUUUGACUUGCGAGGAGCGUCGAUGAGAGGUGAAACCGAGCUAGGCGUCACGUUGGAUCAAGGGAUUUGCAUCUAACCAUCGAGAAAAUCGAGUGAAUGUUUUUGGCAACAAAUAAUUUACUUUUUUUUUAGAGAGGUCACGGGUUGGAUAUGCAAUUUUACAUCCAUCCAGCCUCUUGGCACCCCUGAAAGACAACCAACUCAUUGAUGGGCCUUUUUGAACAGGCCUUAGUGAAGGACUCGUGGCGUAUGGGCCUCUAUGAAGAGAAGACCGGCCCGAAUCAACCUUCGUAUUAUCUCAUCAUUCCAUUUCUAUAUCAUCUUCGACUCUUUCGUUAACCCCUCGUCGUCCUCCGCUCGUUGCCUCCUCCCCAGAGUCCAGCCGCGCCAACUCCCGAAAGGCCAAAACCCCACCAAAUGGAGGGGGUAGCGCCCGCCGUCUCGCUGUUCCGCCCGCGCGCUUCCGCACGCCUCCCUGUCCUCCUCGCCGCGGAUUCCGGUGCCGCCCGCAUGAGCCCCGGUGCAGGUGGUAAUUCGAAUUCCCGCGAAUUUGUCGGUUGUUUGGUUCAACUACGAGCGCUCGUGUUGCUUGACCAUUGGGGCGUUUUUUUGUCUGGAUUUUUGAAAGGGAGGAGCAGGGUUUCGAGGCGUAGCCCUGAGAUGUCUCCGCCAGGAGCAGGUAAGGGGGGAGGCCGACUUGCUGCUUGUUUUUGGUUGGUUACUAAUUUCGACCGUCCGGCUUGUUUAUUUCAAUCCGCCUAAGAUUUUCUCCUUUUAUUGGAAGGGAGGAGUGCGGUGAGGAAGCACGGCAGUACCGAGGCUGCACCUCGCCGACCAGGUAAAUAGCUGACGAUCACCAUGGUCGUGCCGAUGAUACAUGUUUGAUUGGAUGAUUUACCAAUUAGGCAGUCAUACAUAUCUGAAGGUACUAAAAAAAAA